ACGAGUUAUCUGAACCUUCGGGGAACGAUAACGGCGUCGAGCGGCGGACGGGUGAGUAAUGCCUAGGAAAUUGCCCUGAUGUGGGGGAUAACCAUUGGAAACGAUGGCUAAUACCGCAUGAUGCCUACGGGCCAAAGAGGGGGACCUUCGGGCCUCUCGCGUCAGGAUAUGCCUAGGUGGGAUUAGCUAGUUGGUGAGGUAAGGGCUCACCAAGGCGACGAUCCCUAGCUGGUCUGAGAGGAUGAUCAGCCACACUGGAACUGAGACACGGUCCAGACUCCUACGGGAGGCAGCAGUGGGGAAUAUUGCACAAUGGGCGCAAGCCUGAUGCAGCCAUGCCGCGUGUGUGAAGAAAGCCUUCGGGUUGUAAAGUACUUUCAGUCGUGAGGAAGGCGGCGUCGUUAAUAGCUGCAUCGUUUGACGUUAGCGACAGAAGAAGCACCGGCUAACUCCGUGCCAGCAGCCGCGGUAAUACGGAGGGUGCGAGCGUUAAUCGGAAUUACUGGGCGUAAAGCGCAUGC
RNAcentral lists this ribosomal RNA (521 nucleotides) under Vibrio alginolyticus. RNAcentral's name for it is "bacterial SSU rRNA". It matches the Rfam family "Bacterial small subunit ribosomal RNA", at positions 66 to 572 of the family's 1533-position model. The record is from RNAcentral. Lineage: Bacteria; Pseudomonadati; Pseudomonadota; Gammaproteobacteria; Vibrionales; Vibrionaceae.